Molecule: ribosomal RNA, 460 nt
Filed under: uncultured bacterium
Lineage: Bacteria
Description: partial 16S ribosomal RNA
Rfam family: Bacterial small subunit ribosomal RNA
Source: RNAcentral
CCUACGGGGGGCAGCAGUGAGGAAUAUUGGUCAAUGGGCGCGAGCCUGAACCAGCCAAGUAGCGUGAAGGAUGACUGUCCUACGGGUUGUAAACUUCUUUUUUAAAGGAGUAAAGUGAGGCACGUGUGCCGUUUUGUAUGUACCUGAUGAAUAAGGAUAGGCUAACGCCGUGCCAGCAGCCGCCGUAAUACGGAGGAUCCGAGCGUUAUCCGGAUUUAUUGGGUUUAAAGGGGGCGUAGAUGGGUUGUUAAGUCAGUUGUGAAAGUUUGCGGCCCAAACGUAAAAUUGCAAUUGAUACUGGCAGUCUUGAGUGCAGUUGAGGUAGGCGGAAUGCGGGGUGUAGCGGUGAAAUGCUUAGAUAUCACGAAGAACUCCGAUUGCGAAGGCAGCUUACUAACCUGCCACUGACAUUGAUGCUCGAAAGUGUGGGUAUCAAACAGGAUUAGAUACCCCGGUAGUC